CACGCAGUAAACGAUGUACACUAGGUGGUGGGAGUUACUCUCAGUACCGUAGCUAACGCAUUAAGUGUACCGCCUGGGGAGUAUGCUCGCAAGGGUGAAACUCAAAGGAAUUGACGGGGGCCCGCACAAGCGGUGGAGCAUGUGGUUUAAUUCGAUGAUACGCGAGGAACCUUACCAGGGCUUGACAUACGAUGGAAUGGUUGAGAGAUCAUCCAGCCCUUCGGGGUCGUCGUACAGGUGC
RNAcentral lists this ribosomal RNA (241 nucleotides) under uncultured Sphaerochaeta sp. RNAcentral's name for it is "partial 16S ribosomal RNA". It matches the Rfam family "Bacterial small subunit ribosomal RNA", at positions 796 to 1041 of the family's 1533-position model. The record is from RNAcentral. Lineage: Bacteria; Pseudomonadati; Spirochaetota; Spirochaetia; Spirochaetales; Sphaerochaetaceae.